RNAcentral lists this non-coding RNA (23 nucleotides) under Gallus gallus (chicken). RNAcentral also lists the same sequence under 1 other name. The record is from RNAcentral. Lineage: Eukaryota; Metazoa; Chordata; Aves; Galliformes; Phasianidae.
UAGCACUCUGGACUCUGAAUCCA